This 216-nucleotide ribosomal RNA is filed under the name Glomeromycotina sp. Its description in RNAcentral is "partial small subunit ribosomal RNA". The stretch from base 40 to 216 matches the Rfam family "Eukaryotic small subunit ribosomal RNA", at positions 686 to 864 of the family's 1831-position model. The record is from RNAcentral. Lineage: Eukaryota; Fungi; Glomeromycota.
GGGUCAGUAGGUUGGUCGUGCCACCGGUACGUACUGGUCUCACUGAUUCCUCCUUCCUGAAGAACCGUAAUGCCAUUAAUUUGGUGUUGCGGGGAAACAGGACUGUUACUUUGAAAGAAUUAGAGUGUUUAAAGCAAGCUAACGCUUGAAUACAUUAGCAUGGAAUAAUGAAAUAGGACGAUCGAUCCUAUUUUGUUGAUUUCUAGGAUUGACGUA